This 1750-nucleotide ribosomal RNA is filed under the name Escherichia coli. RNAcentral describes it as "partial 23S ribosomal RNA". It matches the Rfam family "Bacterial large subunit ribosomal RNA", at positions 460 to 2194 of the family's 2925-position model. The record is from RNAcentral. Lineage: Bacteria; Pseudomonadati; Pseudomonadota; Gammaproteobacteria; Enterobacterales; Enterobacteriaceae.
CCAAGGCUAAAUACUCCUGACUGACCGAUAGUGAACCAGUACCGUGAGGGAAAGGCGAAAAGAACCCCGGCGAGGGGAGUGAAAAAGAACCUGAAACCGUGUACGUACAAGCAGUGGGAGCACAGAGCAAUCUGUGUGACUGCGUACCUUUUGUAUAAUGGGUCAGCGACUUAUAUUCUGUAGCAAGGUUAACCGAAUAGGGGAGCCGAAGGGAAACCGAGUCUUAACCGGGCGUUAAGUUGCAGGGUAUAGACCCGAAACCCGGUGAUCUAGCCAUGGGCAGGUUGAAGGUUGGGUAACACUAACUGGAGGACCGAACCGACUAAUGUUGAAAAAUUAGCGGAUGACUUGUGGCUGGGGGUGAAAGGCCAAUCAAACCGGGAGAUAGCUGGUUCUCCCCGAAAGCUAUUUAGGUAGCGCCUCGUGAAUUCAUCUCCGGGGGUAGAGCACUGUUUCGGCAAGGGGGUCAUCCCGACUUACCAACCCGAUGCAAACUGCGAAUACCGGAGAAUGUUAUCACGGGAGACACACGGCGGGUGCUAACGUCCGUCGUGAAGAGGGAAACAACCCAGACCGCCAGCUAAGGUCCCAAAGUCAUGGUUAAGUGGGAAACGAUGUGGGAAGGCCCAGACAGCCAGGAUGUUGGCUUAGAAGCAGCCAUCAUUUAAAGAAAGCGUAAUAGCUCACUGGUCGAGUCGGCCUGCGCGGAAGAUGUAACGGGGCUAAACCAUGCACCGAAGCUGCGGCAGCGACACUGUGUGUUGUUGGGUAGGGGAGCGUUCUGUAAGCCUGUGAAGGUGUGCUGUGAGGCAUGCUGGAGGUAUCAGAAGUGCGAAUGCUGACAUAAGUAACGAUAAAGCGGGUGAAAAGCCCGCUCGCCGGAAGACCAAGGGUUCCUGUCCAACGUUAAUCGGGGCAGGGUGAGUCGACCCCUAAGGCGAGGCCGAAAGGCGUAGUCGAUGGGAAACAGGUUAAUAUUCCUGUACUUGGUGUUACUGCGAAGGGGGGACGGAGAAGGCUAUGUUGGCCGGGCGACGGUUGUCCCGGUUUAAGCGUGUAGGCUGGUUUUCCAGGCAAAUCCGGAAAAUCAAGGCUGAGGCGUGAUGACGAGGCACUACGGUGCUGAAGCAACAAAUGCCCUGCUUCCAGGAAAAGCCUCUAAGCAUCAGGUAACAUCAAAUCGUACCCCAAACCGACACAGGUGGUCAGGUAGAGAAUACCAAGGCGCUUGAGAGAACUCGGGUGAAGGAACUAGGCAAAAUGGUGCCGUAACUUCGGGAGAAGGCACGCUGAUAUGUAGGUGAAGUCCCUCGCGGAUGGAGCUGAAAUCAGUCGAAGAUACCAGCUGGCUGCAACUGUUUAUUAAAAACACAGCACUGUGCAAACACGAAAGUGGACGUAUACGGUGUGACGCCUGCCCGGUGCCGGAAGGUUAAUUGAUGGGGUCAGCGCAAGCGAAGCUCUUGAUCGAAGCCCCGGUAAACGGCGGCCGUAACUAUAACGGUCCUAAGGUAGCGAAAUUCCUUGUCGGGUAAGUUCCGACCUGCACGAAUGGCGUAAUGAUGGCCAGGCUGUCUCCACCCGAGACUCAGUGAAAUUGAACUCGCUGUGAAGAUGCAGUGUACCCGCGGCAAGACGGAAAGACCCCGUGAACCUUUACUAUAGCUUGACACUGAACAUUGAGCCUUGAUGUGUAGGAUAGGUGGGAGGCUUUGAAGUGUGGACGCCAGUCUGCAUGGAGCCGACCUUG